GGAUAGCGGCGGACGGGUGAGUAACGCGUGGGGAUGUGCCCAGAGGUACGGAAUAGCCCAGGGAAACUUGGAUUAAUACCGUAUACGCCCUUCGGGGGAAAGAUUUAUCGCCUUUGGAUCAACCCGCGUCUGAUUAGGUAGUUGGUGGGGUAAUGGCCUACCAAGCCUACGAUCAGUAGCUGGUUUUAGAGGAUGAUCAGCCACACUGGGACUGAGACACGGCCCAGACUCCUACGGGAGGCAGCAGUGGGGAAUCUUAGACAAUGGGGGAAACCCUGAUCUAGCCAUGCCGCGUGAGUGACGAAGGCCCUAGGGUCGUAAAGCUCUUUCGCCAGGGAUGAUAAUGACAGUACCUGGUAAAGAAACCCCGGCUAACUCCGUGCCAGCAGCCGCGGUAAUACGGAGGGGGUUAGCGUUGUUCGGAAUUACUGGGCGUAAAGCGCACGUAGGCGGAUCGGAAAGUUGGGGGUGAAAUCCCGGGGCUCAACCCCGGAACUGCCUCCAAAACUAUCGGUCUAGAGUUCGAGAGAGGUGAGUGGAAUUCCGAGUGUAGAGGUGAAAUUCGUAGAUAUUCGGAAGAACACCAGUGGCGAAGGCGGCUCACUGGCUCGAUACUGACGCUGAGGUGCGAAAGCGUGGGUAGCAAACAGGAUUAGAUACCCUGGUAGUCCACGCCGUAAACGUUGAAUGCCAGUCGUCGGGCAGCAUGCUGUUCGGUGACACACUACGANANNUAAGCAUUCCGCCUGGGGAGUACGGCCGCAAGGUUAAACUCAAA
Molecule: ribosomal RNA, 778 nt
Filed under: uncultured bacterium
Lineage: Bacteria
Description: bacterial SSU rRNA
Rfam family: Bacterial small subunit ribosomal RNA
Source: RNAcentral